GGAGUUAGCCGGUGCUUCUUCUGCGAGUAACGUCACAGAUGUAAGGUAUUAACUUACACCCUUUCCUCCUCGCUGAAAGUGCUUUACAACCCGAAGGCCUUCUUCACACACGCGGCAUGGCUGCAUCAGGGUUUCCCCCAUUGUGCAAUAUUCCCCACUGCUGCCUCCCGUAGGAGUCUGGGCCGUGUCUCAGUCCCAGUGUGGCUGAUCAUCCUCUCAGACCAGCUAGGGAUCGUCGCCUAGGUGAGCCUUUACCUCACCUACUAGCUAAUCCCACCUGGGCUUAUCCAUCAGCGCAAGGCCCGAAGGUCCCCUGCUUUCCCCCGGUAGGGCGUAUGCGGUAUUAGCAGUCGUUUCCAACUGUUACUCCCCACAAAUGGGACAAAUUCCCAGGCAUUACUCACCCGUCCGCCGCUCGUCAUCUUCAAAGCAAGCUUUUAGAAAUGUUACCGCUCGACUUGCAUGUGUUAGGCCUGCCGCCAGCGUUCAAUCUGAGCCAGAUCAAACUCUGA
RNAcentral lists this ribosomal RNA (512 nucleotides) under uncultured bacterium. RNAcentral describes it as "partial 16S ribosomal RNA". The record is from RNAcentral.